GCAUUGGUAGCUCGGGGGUAGAAUCCUUACAUUCCAUGUGAGAGACCUGGGUUCAAUUCCCGGCCAGUGCG
This 71-nucleotide transfer RNA is filed under the name Loxodonta africana (African savanna elephant). It matches the Rfam family "tRNA". Rfam says of the family: Transfer RNA (tRNA) molecules are approximately 80 nucleotides in length. Their secondary structure includes four short double-helical elements and three loops (D, anti-codon, and T loops). Further hydrogen bonds mediate the characteristic L-shaped molecular structure. tRNAs have two regions of fundamental functional importance: the anti-codon, which is responsible for specific mRNA codon recognition, and the 3' end, to which the tRNAs corresponding amino acid is attached (by aminoacyl-tRNA synthetases). tRNAs cope with the degeneracy of the genetic code in two manners: having more than one tRNA (with a specific anti-codon) for a particular amino acid; and 'wobble' base-pairing, i.e. permitting non-standard base-pairing at the 3rd anti-codon position. The record is from Rfam by way of RNAcentral. Lineage: Eukaryota; Metazoa; Chordata; Mammalia; Proboscidea; Elephantidae.